This is a non-coding RNA of Peromyscus maniculatus bairdii (prairie deer mouse), 460 nucleotides long. Lineage: Eukaryota; Metazoa; Chordata; Mammalia; Rodentia; Cricetidae. The record is from RefSeq and is a predicted model, not a curated record.
AUUGAAAUUGGAGUCCAAACCUCAUCUGGAAACAUCUGUUUCUUCUUCCCAGGCACCUGUAACCUAUGAUGCCCUGAUGGACAUGGAGUACCUGGACAUAGUAGUGAAUGAAACUCUCAGAUUGUACCCGGCUGCUAACAGGCUAGAAAGGAUCUCAAAGAAAGAUGUGGAAAAAAUCAAUGGAGCGUUCAUUCCCAAAGGGACUGUAGUUAUGGUACCAACCUAUCCACUCCAUCGGGAUCCUGAGUACUAGCCAGAGCCUGAGGAGUUCUGCCCUGAAAGGUUCAGCAAGGAGAACAAGGGCAGCAUCAAUCCUUAUGUAUACCUGCCCUUCGGGAAUGGACCCAGGAACUGCCUUGGCAUGAGGUUUGCCCUCAUCAGUAUGAAAUUCGCUGUUGUCAGAGUGCUGCAGAACUUCACCCUCCAGCCUUGUGAGGAAACACAGGUCACGUUUUGUUCA